This is a non-coding RNA of Monodelphis domestica (gray short-tailed opossum), 8520 nucleotides long. The record is from RefSeq and is a predicted model, not a curated record. Lineage: Eukaryota; Metazoa; Chordata; Mammalia; Didelphimorphia; Didelphidae.
CAACAUGGACUCCUCCCUGGAGAUCAAAUAGGAAACUUCUUUUAACAGACAGUAGAUACCAAAGAAUCGGUAUACAGGCUCACCUAUCCAUCCUCUUUGUUCCCAAGCACAAUGUGAAGAUCAGUGAAAAAAUCAAUGGGGCACUGUGGACGGUACCACAUGGUCUUCUACCCACUUUUCCUAGAGAAUGAAGUCCAAGCAGGAGUUUCAUGAUGAUCAGGCAGGAGACUGAUGACAAUCAAAAAAGAGUUCUCUCCUCCUCUUGUUAACAGGUUGUAUAACAGAAGCAAAGCAUAAGAGAAAGCAAUUUCUUCUGGGAGAGCCUUGGCAGGAAGUUCAUGGAGAUGCCAAUGCAGAAGCAAAGGGAAUGAAGAUACCUGCCUCACCUCUUUGCUUCUCAGCUCUUCCCAUUGGAGGCUGGGGAUCAGAAAAGAGCCAGGCAAAGCACAAGAGAAAGCAAUCACAUCUCUUUCAUAGUUGGCUGAAAAUUCACAGAGAUGACCAUGGGGAAGCAAAGGGAAUGAUGGAAUGUACCUCUCUUUUCUCUUGUCCAACCAUUACAAAAUGAGGACCGUUUAGGACAGAAGACUAGAAAUUUCUGUUGACCUGAAAGGACAUACAAGGGAAUGAUGAAAAGUACCUACCUCGCCAUUAUUUUUCUUCUGUGUUUUCUUCUUUGGAAGAGGUGAAGACCUGGGAAGAGAUACAUGAGGCAGAAUUGAAGGCACUCGACUUGCUUCUUCUCAUUUUCCCUGAAGGCUAGAAUCCUACUAUGAAUGUCAUAAAGAUCAGUCAGGAGACUUAUGAAAUAUGAUGGAAGGUACAUAUCUCUCAUCCUUCCUGCUCUCCUCUUCCCUUUGGAGGGUGGAGAUCAGGUAGGAGAUAGGCAAAGCAUAAUAAAAAGCAACUACCUCUCCUUGAGGAACCAGAUCUUGAAGACCUGGCAGGAGAUUCAUGAAGAAGAGUACGUGAAGCGAAGAACAUAAUGGAAUUCAUACACCAUUCUCUUCUCAGUCCCCUUGGAACUGUGAGACCUAGCAGGAGACCAGGUAGGUAUCUUGGAUUGGACAGUCCCAUGUUAGGAGGGAAAGAGGAGGAAACCCGAUCACGUCUGCAUUUCUCUUACCUUGCCAUCCAUACAGAAUUUAGGGUGGAGGGAGGAUCCAGAUGAAUCCCAAUGCAAGGCCACUGACUCUCUUUAUCCCUCUUUUCCUCAAGAUCAGAGUACUUGCAGGAGACUUGAGUCUGGAGUCCUGGUAAGAUUUUCCUAAAGAUGAUGCUGGAAAGAACACUUAAGUGAGUGCAGACUCCCUUUUCGUCUCUUUUUACUUCCAUUAUAACCUGGAGAUCUAGCAGGAGAAAAGGGAGUGAAGAUCUGGGAAGAGACAGAAAUAGCAGAAUUGAAGUUACCGGGCUGGCUUCUUACCUCUUUUACUGGAAGCUAGGAUUCCGGGAAGAGGUUAAUGAAGGUGACUCAUGGAAUUCAGAGAAGAGACCCAUGGAAUAUUAUGGAAGCUAUUGGCCUCACCUCUUUCCUUCUCUCCUCUUCCCUUUGGAGGUUGGGGAUCAGGAUGGAGCCAGGCAAAGGACAGGAGAAAAUAGCCACUUCUCAUUGUGGACCAUGAGGCUGGAGACUUGGCAGGACAUUCAUGGAGAUGAGGAUUUGAAGCACCAGGCUUGAUAGAAGGCACUCACCUCUUCUACUCUACCUUCCUUUGCAACAUGGACUCCUCCCUGGAGAUCAAAUAGGAAACUUCUUUUAACAGACAGUAGAUACCAAAGAAUCGGUAUACAGGCUCACCUAUCCAUCCUCUUUGUUCCCAAGCACAAUGUGAAGAUCAGUGAAAAAAUCAAUGGGGCACUGUGGACGGUACCACAUGGUCUUCUACCCACUUUUCCUAGAGAAUGAAGUCCAAGCAGGAGUUUCAUGAUGAUCAGGCAGGAGACUGAUGACAAUCAAAAAAGAGUUCUCUCCUCCUCUUGUUAACAGGUUGUAUAACAGAAGCAAAGCAUGAGAGAAAGCAAUUUCUUCUGGGAGAGCCUUGGCAGGAAGUUCAUGGAGAUGCCAAUGCAGAAGCAAAGGGAAUGAAGAUACCUGCCUCACCUCUUUGCUUCUCAGCUCUUCCCAUUGGAGGCUGGGGAUCAGAAAAGAGCCAGGCAAAGCACAAGAGAAAGCAAUCACAUCUCUUUCAUAGUUGGCUGAAAAUUCACAGAGAUGACCAUGGGGAAGCAAAGGGAAUGAUGGAAUGUACCUCUCUUUUCUCUUGUCCAACCAUUACAAAAUGAAGACCAUUUAGGACAGAAGACUAGAAAUUUCUGUUUACCUGAACGGACAUACAAGGGAAUGAUGAAAAGUACCUACCUCGCCAUUAUUUUUCUUCUGUGUUUUCUUCUUUAGAAGAGGUGAAGACCUGGGAAGAGAUACAUGAGGCAGAAUUGAAGGCACUCGACUUGCUUCUUCUCAUUUUCCCUGAAGGCUAGAAUCCUACUAUGAAUGUCAUAAAGAUCAGUCAGGAGACUUUUGGAAUAUGAAGGAAGGUACAUAUCUCUCAUCCUUCCUGCUCUCCUCUUCCCUUUGGAGGGUGGAGAUCAGGUAGGAGAUAGGCAAAGUAUAAUACAAAGCAACUACCUCUCCUUGAGGAACCAGAUCUUGAAGACUUGGCAGGAGAUUCAUGAAGAAGAGUACGUGAAGCGAAGAACAUGAUGGAAUUCAUACACCAUUCUCUUCUCAGUCCCCUUGGAACUGUGAGACCUAGCAGGAGACCAGGUAGGUAUCUUGGAUUAGACAGUCCCAUGUUAGGAGGGAAUGAGGAGGAAACCCGAUCACGUCUGCAUUUCUCUUACCUUGCCAUCCAUACAGAAUUUAGGGUGGAGGGAGGAUCCAGAUGAAUCCCAAUGCAAGGCCACUGACUCUCUUUAUCCCUCUUUUCCUCAAGAUCAGAGUACUUGCAGGAGACUAGAGUCUGGAGUCUUGGUAAGAUUUUCCUAAAGAUGAUGCUGGAAAGAACACUUAAGUGAGUGCAGACUCCCUUUUCGUCUCUUUUUACUUCCAUUAUAACCUGGAGAUCUAGCAGGAGAAAAGGUAUGAAAUUUGUGUUGGUCAGACAAGAGUUACAAGUCAGUUAACGAAUAUAGCUAGGCCCUAUCUUCACCUCUCUUCUCUUUUCUUCCAUGCAGGGAGUGAAGAUCUGGGAAGAGACAGAAAUAGCAGAAUUGAAGUUACCGGGCUGGCUUCUUACCUCUUUUACUGGAACCUAGCGUUCCGGGAAGAGGUUAAUGAAGGUGACUCAUGGAAUUCAGAGAAGAGACCCAUGGAAUAUUAUGGAAGCUAUCGGCCUCACCUCUUUCCUUCUCUCCUCUUCCCUUUGGAGGUUGGGGAUCAGGUUGGAGCCAGGCAAAGGACAGGAGAAAAUAGCCACUUCUCAUUGUGGACCAUGAGGCUGGAGACUUGGCAGGACAUUCAUGGAGAUGAGGAUUUGAAGCACCAGGCUUGAUAGAAGGCACUCACCUCUUCUACUCUACCUUCCUUUGCAACAUGGACUCCUCCCUGGAGACCAAAUAGGAAACUUCUUUUAACAGACAGUAGAUACCAAAGAAUCGGUAUACAGGCUCACCUAUCCAUCCUCUUUGUUCCCAAGCACAAUGUGAAGAUCAGUGAAAAAAUCAAUUGGGCACUGUGGACGGUACCACAUGGUCUUCUACCCACUUUUCCUAGAGAAUGAAGUCCAAGCAGGAGUUUCAUGAUGAUCAGGCAGGAGACUGAUGACAAUCAAAAAAGAGUUCUCUCCUCCUCUUGUUAACAGGCUGUAUAACAGAAGCAAAGCAUAAGAGAAAGCAAUUUCUUCUGGGAGAGCCUUGGCAGGAAGUUCAUGGAGAUGCCAAUGCAGAAGCAAAGGGAAUGAAGAUACCUGCCUCACCUCUUUGCUUCUCAGCUCUUCCCAUUGGAGGUUGGGGAUCACAAAAGAGCCAGGCAAAGCACAAGAGAAAGCAAUCACAUCUCUUUCAUAGUUGGCUGAAAAUUCACAGAGAUGACCAUGGGGAAGCAAAGGGAAUGAUGGAAUGUACCUCUCUUUUCUCUUGUCCAACCAUUACAAAAUGAGGACCAUUUAGGACAGAAGACUAGAAAUUUCUGUUGACCUGAACGGACAUACAAGGGAAUGAUGAAAAGUACCUACCUCGCUAUUAUUUUUCUUCUGUGUUUUCUUCUUUGGAAGAGGUGAAGACCUGGGAAGAGAUACAUGAGGCAGAAUUGAAGGCACUCGACUUGCUUCUUCUCAUUUUCCCUGAAGGCUAGAAUCCUACUAUGAAUGUCAUAAAGAUCAGUCAGGAGACUUAUGGAAUAUGAUGGAAGGUACAUGUCUCUCAUCCUUCCUGCUCUCCUCUUCCCUUUGGAGGGUGGAGAUCAGGUAGGAGAUAGGUAAACUAUAAUACAAAGCAACUACCUCUCCUUGAGGAACCAGAUCUUGAAGACUUGGCAGGAUAUUCAUGAAAAAGAGCAUGUGAAGCGAAGAAUAUGAUGGAAUUCAUACACCAUUCUCUUCUCAGUCCCCUUGGAACUGUGAGACCUAGCAGGAGACCAGGUAGGUAUCUUGGAUUGGACAGUCCCAUGUUAGGAGGGAAUGAGGAGGAAACCCGAUCACGUCUGCAUUUCUCUUACCUUGCCAUCCAUACAGAAUUUAGGGUGGAGGGAGGAUCCAGAUGAAUCCCAAUGCAAGGCCACUGACUCUCUUUAUCCCUCUUUUCCUCAAGAUCAGAGUACUUGCCGGAGACUAGAGUCUGGAGUCCUGGUAAGAUUUUCCUAAAGAUGAUGCUGGAAAGAACACUUAAGUGAGUGCAGACUCCCUUUUCGUCUCUUUUUACUUCCAUUAUAACCUGGAGAUCUAGCAGGAGAAAAGGUAUGAAAUUUGUGUUGGUCAGACAAGAGUUACAAGUCAGUUAACGAAUAUAGCUAGGCCCUAUCUUCACCUCUCUUCUCUUUUCUUCCAUGCAGGGAGUGAAGAUCUGGGAAGAGACAGAAAUAGCAGAAUUGAAGUUACCGGGCUGGCUUCUUACCUCUUUUACUGGAACCUAGCGUUCCGGGAAGAGGUUAAUGAAGGUGACUCAUGGAAUUCAGAGAAGAGACCCAUGGAAUAUUAUGGAAGCUAUCGGCCUCACCUCUUUCCUUCUCUCCUCUUCCCUUUGGAGGUUGGGGAUCAGGUUGGAGCCAGGCAAAGGACAGGAGAAAAUAGCCACUUCUCAUUGUGGACCAUGAGGCUGGAGACUUGGCAGGACAUUCAUGGAGAUGAGGAUUUGAAGCACCAGGCUUGAUAGAAGGCACUCACCUCUUCUACUCUACCUUCCUUUGCAACAUGGACUCCUCCCUGGAGAUCAAAUAGGAAACUUCUUUUAACAGACAGUAGAUACCAAAGAAUCGGUAUACAGGCUCACCUAUCCAUCCUCUUUGUUCCCAAGCACAAUGUGAAGAUCAGUGAAAAAAUCAAUGGGGCACAGUAGACGGUACCACAUGGUCUUCUACCCACUUUUCCUAGAGAAUGAAGUCCAAGCAGGAGUUUCAUGAUGAUCAGGCAGGAGACUGAUGACAAUCAAAAAAGAGUUCUCUCCUCCUCUUGUUAACAGGCUGUAUAACAGAAGCAAAGCAUGAGAGAAAGCAAUUUCUUCUGGGAGAGCCUUGGCAGGAAGUUCAUGGAGAUGCCAAUGCAGAAGCAAAGGGAAUGAAGAUACCUGCCUCACCUCUUUGCUUCUCAGCUCUUCCCAUUGGAGGCUGGGGAUCAGAAACGAGCCAGGCAAAGCACAAGAGAAAGCAAUCACAUCUCUUUCAUAGUUGGCUGAAAAUUCACAGAGAUGACCAUGGGGAAGCAAAGGGAAUGAUGGAAUGUACCUCUCUUUUCUCUUGUCCAACCAUUACAAAAUGAAGAGCAUUUAGGACAGAAGACUAGAAAUUUCUGUUGACCUGAACGGACAUACAAGUGAAUGAUGAAAAGUACCUACCUCGCCAUAAUUUUUCUUCUGUGUUUUCUUCUUUGGAAGAGGUGAAGACCUGGGAAGAGAUACAUGAGGCAGAAUUGAAGGCACUCGACUUGCUUCUUCUCAUUUUCCCUGAAGGCUAGAAUCCUACUAUGAAUGUCAUAAAGAUCAGUCAGGAGACUUUUGGAAUAUGAUGGAAGGUAGAUAUCUCUCAUCCUUCCUGCUCUCCUCUUCCCUUUGGAGGGUGGAGAUCAGGUAGGAGAUAGGCAAAGUAUAAUACAAAGCAACUACCUCUCCUUGAGGAACCAGAUCUUGAAGACUUGGCAGGAGAUUCAUGAAGAAGAGUACGUGAAGCGAAGAACAUGAUGGAAUUCAUACACCAUUCUCUUCUCAGUCCCCUUGGAACUGUGAGACCUAGCAGGAGACCAGGUAGGUAUCUUGGAUUGGACAGUCCCAUGUUAGGAGGGAAUGAGGAGGAAACCCGAUUACGUCUGCAUUUCUCUUACCUUGCCAUCCAUACAGAAUUUAGGGUGGAGGGAGGAUCCAGAUGAAUCCCAAUGCAAGGCCACUGACUCUCUUUAUCCCUCUUUUCCUCAAGAUCAGAGUACUUGCCGGAGACUAGAGUCUGGAGUCCUGGUAAGAUUUUCCUAAAGAUGAUGCUGGAAAGAACACUUAAGUGAGUGCAGACUCCCUUUUCGUCUCUUUUUACUUCCAUUAUAACCUGGAGAUCUAGCAGGAGAAAAGGUAUGAAAUUUGUGUUGGUCAGACAAGAGUUACAAGUCAGUUAACGAAUAUAGCUAGGCCCUAUCUUCACCUCUCUUCUCUUUUCUUCCAUGCAGGGAGUGAAGAUCUGGGAAGAGACAGAAAUAGCAGAAUUGAAGUUACCGGGCUGGCUUCUUACCUCUUUUACUGGAACCUAGCGUUCCGGGAAGAGGUUAAUGAAGGUGACUCAUGGAAUUCAGAGAAGAGACCCAUGGAAUAUUAUGGAAGCUAUCGGCCUCACCUCUUUCCUUCUCUCCUCUUCCCUUUGGAGGUUGGGGAUCAGGUUGGAGCCAGGCAAAGGACAGGAGAAAAUAGCCACUUCUCAUUGUGGACCAUGAGGCUGGAGACUUGGCAGGACAUUCAUGGAGAUGAGGAUUUGAAGCACCAGGCUUGAUAGAAGGCACUCACCUCUUCUACUCUACCUUCCUUUGCAACAUGGACUCCUCCCUGGAGAUCAAAUAGGAAACUUCUUUUAACAGACAGUAGAAACCAAAGAAUCGGUAUACAGGCUCACCUAUCCAUCCUCUUUGUUCCCAAGCACAAUGUGAAGAUCAGUGAAAAAAUCAAUGGGGCACAGUAGACGGUACCACAUGGUCUUCUACCCACUUUUCCUAGAGAAUGAAGUCCAAGCAGGAGUUUCAUGAUGAUCAGGCAGGAGACUGAUGACAAUCAAAAAAGAGUUCUCUCCUCCUCUUGUUAACAGGCUGUAUAACAGAAGCAAAGCAUGAGAGAAAGCAAUUUCUUCUGGGAGAGCCUUGGCAGGAAGUUCAUGGAGAUGCCAAUGCAGAAGCAAAGGGAAUGAAGAUACCUGCCUCACCUCUUUGCUUCUCAGCUCUUCCCAUUGGAGGCUGGGGAUCAGAAAAGAGCCAGGCAAAGCACAAGAGAAAGCAAUCACAUCUCUUUCAUAGUUGGCUGAAAAUUCACAGAGAUGACCAUGGGGAAGCAAAGGGAAUGAUGGAAUGUACCUCUCUUUUCUCUUGUCCAACCAUUACAAAAUGAAGACCAUUUAGGACAGAAGACUAGAAAUUUCUGUUGACCUGAACGGACAUACAAGUGAAUGAUGAAAAGUACCUACCUCGCCAUUAUUUUUCUUCUGUGUUUUCUUCUUUGGAAGAGGUGAAGACCUGGGAAGGGAUACAUGAGGCAGAAUUGAAGGCACUCGACUUGCUUCUUCUCAUUUUCCCUGAAGGCUAGAAUCCUACUAUGAAUGUCAUAAAGAUCAGUCAGGAGACUUUUGGAAUAUGAUGGAAGGUACAUGUCUCUCAUCCUUCCUGCUCUCCUCUUCCCUUUGGAGGGUGGAGAUCAGGUAGGAGAUAGGUAAACUAUAAUACAAAGCAACUACCUCUCCUUGAGGAACCAGAUCUUGAAGACUUGGCAGGAGAUUCAUGAAGAAGAGUACGUGAAGCGAAGAACAUGAUGGAAUUCAUACACCAUUCUCUUCUCAGUCCCCUUGGAACUGUGAGACCUAGCAGGAGACCAGGUAGGUAUCUUGGAUUGGACAGUCCCAUGUUAGGAGGGAAUGAGGAGGAAACCCGAUCACGUCUGCAUUUCUCUUACCUUGCCAUCCAUACAGAAUUUAGGGUGGAGGGAGGAUCCAGAUGAAUCCCAAUGCAAGGCCACUGACUCUCUUUAUCCCUCUUUUCCUCAAGAUCAGAGUACUUGCCGGAGACUAGAGUCUGGAGUCCUGGUAAGAUUUUCCUAAAGAUGAUGCUGGAAAGAACACUUAAGUGAGUGCAGACUCCCUUUUCGUCUCUUUUUACUUCCAUUAUAACCUGGAGAUCUAGCAGGAGAAAA